GGCUACACACGUGCUACAAUGGCGCAUACAGAGGGCAGCCAACUUGCGAAAGUGAGCGAAUCCCAAAAAGUGCGUCGUAGUCCGGAUUGGAGUCUGCAACUCGACUCCAUGAAGUCGGAAUCGCUAGUAAUCGUGGAUCAGAAUGCCACGGUGAAUACGUUCCCGGGCCUUGUACACACCGCCCGUCACACCAUGGGAGUGGGCUGCAAAAGAAGUAGGUAGUUUAACCUUCGGGGGGACGCUUACCACUUUGUGGUUCAUGACUGGGGUGAAGUCGUAACAAGGUAGCGCUAGGGGAACCUGGCGCUGGAUCACCUCCUUAAACGAUGAU
Molecule: ribosomal RNA, 331 nt
Filed under: Vibrio parahaemolyticus
Lineage: Bacteria; Pseudomonadati; Pseudomonadota; Gammaproteobacteria; Vibrionales; Vibrionaceae
Description: bacterial SSU rRNA
Rfam family: Bacterial small subunit ribosomal RNA
Source: RNAcentral